Molecule: long non-coding RNA, 1194 nt
Organism: Pangasianodon hypophthalmus (striped catfish)
Lineage: Eukaryota; Metazoa; Chordata; Actinopteri; Siluriformes; Pangasiidae
Exons: 4
Source: RefSeq, a predicted model, not a curated record
GUUCCACCGAUCUGAAAGGUCUGGGAGUCGAUUCCUAAACGAGUUAAUUCCCCGGUUCCAGUCUUGGGCACUCGAGAGUCGAUUCCAAAGCUUUGGGAUUGAUUCCACACAGUGAUUCGAGACAAGGCUCACAGCUGAUCAGGUUCCACAGGUAAAGGCCUAAAGGUCCAUGUAGUGUCUCAUAUGGAUUUCCAAAGGCAUUGUACAUGAAGAAGGCAGAACACACAGAUGAGAAGAGGAUGAGCACUGCACAGAAGAUGAUGACACUCACAUGCAGACUAGCUGGGAUCACAUCCACCAGCACAUUUCCUGUAGUGGAGUCAGAAAAGAAAGACCGUAUUUUCAGGAGAUUUAAUGGAAAUUCAGGGUCCCCAUUUGAUCCUGAGCUUUGGGUUACUGUCCGUGUGGAGUUUUACAUGUUCUCCUCGUGUCUGUGUGGGUUUACGGUGGGUUCUCCCUUUUCUUCGUGGAUUGCCCUAGGUAAAUUGCCUUAGGAGUGACUGAGUGUUUGAAAAUUUUUUGCUCUGUGGACUGGCAUCCCAUCCGGGGUGUAUUCCCACCUCACACCCAGUGUUCCCAGGAUAGGCUCCAGAACAAGGAUUAAGCAGUUACUGAAGAUGAAUGGAUGAAUUUGCAAUUGUGUUGGACUUUAAUAGCUGGAGAAUUUAAUAGCAGGCUGUUAUUAGUUGUGUAUUUAGCACAGAAGAUCACAUUUAACUCUCCUGUAUUUGCAUGAUUUCAAUUAGUAUAUUUAGAUUAUGAUUGACAGGGAAUGUGGAUGAGGUUUUGGUGCAGCCUCUGUGGUGUGUUCCUCACUGCUGUCUUCAAAGUGAGUUAAUGGAAGGAGUAAUUUUAUGGCUUUAGUAUUAAAUUCUCACAAACUCUCACACACACACACACACACACACAGCGAUCAUAUUAAAUACUACUGGAAGUCGCAUCUCAAGCCACGUGUUUAAAAAAAAAUCAAAAAAAAAAUCCUGGAGGCUUGGAAAAAGUCCCAAAAGUCAAAAGUACCCAGGUCUAAGAGGGAGAGAGAGAAUAAAAAUUUCCAUAUGACCUAUGCUACUUUUAAUUUCGUUAUUAUAGGUGUACUGUAACCUAGGGUUUUCAUUUCAUACAAACCUGCGGGUUGACAUUAUGGUCUCUAAAGGCGAAAGACUGACACAGCUGCUUGGGUUACUCACAAGAGAA